Molecule: transfer RNA, 66 nt
Filed under: Diceroprocta semicincta
Lineage: Eukaryota; Metazoa; Arthropoda; Insecta; Hemiptera; Cicadidae
Description: tRNA-Ser
Rfam family: tRNA
About the family: Transfer RNA (tRNA) molecules are approximately 80 nucleotides in length.
Source: RNAcentral
AGUUGAUUAGCUUAAUAUAGCAUUUAUUUUGAAAAUAAAAGAAAGGAAUAAACUUCCUAUUAACUU